UGCCAGCCGCCGCGGUAAUACGGAGGGUGCAAGCGUUGUUCGGAUUUACUGGGCGUAAAGAGCGCGUAGGCGGCUUCAUAAGUUAAGGGUGAAAUCCCGGGGCUUAACUCCGGAACUGCUCUUAAAACUGUGGAGCUAGAGACAAUCAGAGGUGGGUGGAAUUCCAGGUGUAGAGGUGAAAUUCGUAGAUAUUAGAAGGAACAUCAGAGGCGAAGGCGGCUUUCUGGUCCGAUACUGACGCUGAGGUACGAAAGCGUGGGGAGCAAACAGGAUUAGAUA
Molecule: ribosomal RNA, 279 nt
Filed under: uncultured bacterium
Lineage: Bacteria
Description: partial 16S ribosomal RNA
Rfam family: Bacterial small subunit ribosomal RNA
Source: RNAcentral